Molecule: ribosomal RNA, 1019 nt
Filed under: Haliotis asinina
Lineage: Eukaryota; Metazoa; Mollusca; Gastropoda; Lepetellida; Haliotidae
Description: 12S ribosomal RNA
Rfam family: Bacterial small subunit ribosomal RNA
Source: RNAcentral
UAUGGAUUUGGUUUUGGUUCUGUGUCUUGGUUUUAGCUAUAGAAAACACAUGGUACUUUACGGGUUCCGGUGAGUAGAAUGUCAGAAUUAAGUUAGAUUUUAAUAUUCUGUCUUGGUUCUGAUUUUUAGGCAUAAUUGUUUUUGUAUGACGCCUAUUUUUGUUCACUAUGUACACCAGUGUUGGAGGUUGGAUAAUAAAUUUUGGUUUGAUCCAGUAAGUUGCUAUUUAGGCCUGGUAAAGUUUGUGCCAGCAACUGCGGUUAGACAAACAGGUCAAGUUAAGAUUUUUGCAGCAUAAAGUAGGGUUAGGGGUACAAAUAGUUGUUUGGGGAUUUAAAGUGAUUUAAGGGGUGCAAUCCUAAGAAUUGCAGAUUUAUCUAGUAUUUCCUUGUUGCCUGAUGCCCUGAAACUCCAGCGGAAAACCGGGAUUUGGUAUCCCGUUAUUUGGAGUGUAAACUUUGGUUUGUAAUCUGCUGGGGUACUACGAGCGCUAUAAUUUGGCUGGGCUUAAAACUCAAAAAACUUGGCGGUGUUUCAUAUCCUCCCAGGGGAACCUGUCUCGUAAACGAUGAUCCACGUUUUAUCUUACCUUAUCUUGAAGCGCCUAGGAGAUAGUGGGUGAGUCAGCUUGUAUACCGUCGCCGAUAGAUCACCCUUGAGGGGCGUAAAGUGGUCGGGAAGAGAGGGGAGAGUAUAGACUGAUAAGUCGUGUUUUAAUAGCGAUUGAUGGUUGUGCUCAUUGCGUUGUGUUGUCUGAAAGGGCUACGUGGACGUUUGGCUUCUCAGGAUGUCAGAUCAAGGUGCAGCUUAUGGUAAGGUGAUGAUGGGUUACAAUAAUUAAUUUGUUAUACGGAUUUUUUACUGUAAUGUAAAAUUUAAGGCGGACUUGGAUGUAAUAUUAAAUUAGAAAGUUAUAGUGAACUAGGUUUUGAGAUGUGUACAAAUCGCCCGUCGCUCUCGUUGAAAAAUGAGAUAAGUCGUAACAUAGUAGGGGUACCGGAAGGUGCCCCUGGAAUAGU